RNAcentral lists this ribosomal RNA (253 nucleotides) under uncultured bacterium. RNAcentral's name for it is "partial 16S ribosomal RNA". It matches the Rfam family "Bacterial small subunit ribosomal RNA", at positions 524 to 776 of the family's 1533-position model. RNAcentral also lists the same sequence under 1 other name. The record is from RNAcentral.
UACAGAGGGUGCAAGCGUUAAUCGGAAUUACUGGGCGUAAAGGGCGCGUAGGUGGUUAAUUAAGUUAGAUGUGAAAUCCCUGGGCUUAACCUAGGAAUUGCAUUUAAAACUGGUUGACUAGAGUGUGGUAGAGGGAAGUGGAAUUUCCAGUGUAGCGGUGAAAUGCGUAGAUAUUGGAAGGAACACCAGUGGCGAAGGCGACUUCCUGGACCACUACUGACACUGAGGCGCGACAGCGUGGGGAGCGAACAGG